RNAcentral lists this long non-coding RNA (836 nucleotides) under Rattus norvegicus (Norway rat). Its description in RNAcentral is "long non-coding RNA NONRATT007731". Lineage: Eukaryota; Metazoa; Chordata; Mammalia; Rodentia; Muridae. The record is from RNAcentral.
AGUCAUGCAGUAGUGAUGUCCAGAAGUCUGUGUGUGUCUGCUUCUCAGAAAUCUUGUCUUUUCCCAACAGGAAAGCCAUAGAAGAAUUGUUAAAGGAGGCAAAGCGUGGGAAAACCCGGGCAGAGACAAUGGGGCCGAUGGGCUGGAUGAAGUGUCCUCUCGCUGGUACGAAUAAAAGAUUCCUUAUUAACACAAUUAAGAACACAUUGCCCUCCCAUAAAGAGCAAGACCACGAACAAAAAGAGGGCAGUAAGGAGCCUGGCAAAAGUCAAGACCAGAAGGAAACAAGUGGGAAGAAACACAGAAGCCACUCCUACAAGCGCAGCCUUCACUCAGCCCGGGGCUCAGUGGGCUGCUCUCCUCCAAGGAAGCGGGCCUCCCGGGACAAGUGUGACCCAAGGCCCAGCCGGCGAUGAGAUGGCUGCAGGGCCAGCCCAGCCCGUACUGCACCUGCCACUGGGCGCAGCGAGGCAAGGAGGCCGGGAGGUGGCGGGCUCUGACAUCCGAAAGUGACUUCCUCAGUGGGUCCUUUGUUUUACGGUGUCUCUUGGUACUGUGUUGUUGUUCUUGUUGCUCUUGUUAACAGGAAAAGAAAAACUUUACUAAAGCAAAUCGUAACUACCUUAUCCUGAAGGCGUCGUGGUGAGAGCAAGCUGAUUCCGCAUUGCCCUGCACAUCGAUGUUGUCUUUAUCUACCUUACCUGAAGUUCGUUUCAAACAAGGAGUUUUAGAAUUUGAGAUUUUGAGCUUGUUAGAAACUCCUAGUUUUUUGAUGUACUGCACUUUUGUGGUCAUUUCCCAGAAUUUCUCAAAAAAUAAAUAAAAUAUUUAAAAAC